GACGAACGCUGGCGGCGUGCUUAACACAUGCAAGUCGAACGAUGAAGCCUUCGGGUGGAUUAGCGGCGAACGGGUGAGUAACACGUGGGCAAUCUGCCCUGUACUUUGGGAUAAGCCUUGGAAACGGGGUCUAAUACCGGAUAUCACUUCUGACCGCAUGGUUGGUUGUUGAAAGUUCUGGCGGUACAGGAUGAGCCCGCGGCCUAUCAGCUUGUUGGUGGGGUAAUGGCCUACCAAGGCGACGACGGGUAGCCGGCCUGAGAGGAUGACCGGCCACACUGGGACUGAGACACGGCCCAGACUCCUACGGGAGGCAGCAGUGGGGAAUAUUGCACAAUGGGCGAAAGCCUGAUGCAGCGACGCCGCGUGGGGAUGACGGCCUCGGUU
Molecule: ribosomal RNA, 387 nt
Filed under: uncultured bacterium
Lineage: Bacteria
Description: bacterial SSU rRNA
Rfam family: Bacterial small subunit ribosomal RNA
Source: RNAcentral